Small nucleolar RNA from Lepus europaeus (European hare), 116 nucleotides. RefSeq annotates it as small nucleolar RNA SNORA32. The transcript has a single exon. The record is from RefSeq and is a predicted model, not a curated record. NCBI's taxonomy places the organism in Eukaryota, Metazoa, Chordata, Mammalia, Lagomorpha, Leporidae.
AAAUCUUUCAAGGAAAAAAAAAUGUAAUUUCUCAUUUGCUGUGGACAUGACCAUAAAAGAUUUUCCACCAGGCUUCCUCUGUUACCGUGCUAGCUUUCAGCCCAUUAGGAACAUUG